GCCUGGGUGGCUCAGUCGGUUGAGCGUCCGACUUUGACUCAGGUCAUGAUCUCGCAGUUUGUGGGUUCGAGCCCCACAUCAGGCU
This is a transfer RNA of Felis catus (domestic cat), 85 nucleotides long. It matches the Rfam family "tRNA". From Rfam's summary of the family: Transfer RNA (tRNA) molecules are approximately 80 nucleotides in length. Their secondary structure includes four short double-helical elements and three loops (D, anti-codon, and T loops). The record is from Rfam. NCBI's taxonomy places the organism in Eukaryota, Metazoa, Chordata, Mammalia, Carnivora, Felidae.